CCGAGUUUACAACUCCCAAACCCCUGUGAACAUACCUAUACUGUUGCCUCGGCGGAUUCAGCCCGCUCCCGGUAAAAACGGGGACGGUCCCGCCAGAGGACCCCUAAACUCUGUUUCUAUAGUGGAAACUUCUGAGUAAAAAACCAUAAAUAAAUC
Molecule: unclassified non-coding RNA, 156 nt
Filed under: soil metagenome
Description: partial internal transcribed spacer 1
Source: RNAcentral